Molecule: ribosomal RNA, 500 nt
Filed under: uncultured bacterium
Lineage: Bacteria
Description: bacterial SSU rRNA
Rfam family: Bacterial small subunit ribosomal RNA
Source: RNAcentral
ACCGCGUGUGCGAUGAAGGCCUUCGGGUUGUAAAGCACUUUUCGAGAGGAAGAGGAAGGACGGUACUCUCGGAAUAAGUCUCGGCUAACUACGCGCCAGCAGCCGCGGUAAAACGUAGGAGGCGAACGUUAUCCGGAUUUACUGGGCGUAAAGCGCGUGUAGGUGGUUUGGUAAGUAGGGCGUGAAAGCUCCUGGCUCAACUAGGAGAGGUCGUUCUAAACUGCCAGACUUGAGGAUGGUAGAGGGAGGUGGAAUUCCGGGUGUAGUAGUGAAAUGCGCAGAUAUUCGGAGGAACACCAGUGGCGAAAGCGGCCUCCUGGACCACACCUGACACUCAGACGCGAAAGCUAGGGUAGCAAACGGGAUUAGAGACCCCGGUAGUCCUAGCCGUAAACGAUGUAGACUUGACGUUGGUGGUUUAAUAUCCAUCAGUGUCGUAGCUAACGCGAUAAGUCUACCGCCUGGGGACUACGGCCGCAAGGUUAAAACUCAAAGGAAUU